Molecule: ribosomal RNA, 522 nt
Filed under: uncultured Glomus
Lineage: Eukaryota; Fungi; Glomeromycota; Glomeromycetes; Glomerales; Glomeraceae
Description: SSU rRNA
Rfam family: Eukaryotic small subunit ribosomal RNA
Source: RNAcentral
AGCAGCCGCGGUAAUUCCAGCUCCAAUAGCGUAUAUUAAAGUUGUUGCAGUUAAAAAGCUCGUAGUUGAAUUUCGGGGUCAGUAGGUUGGUCGUGCCACUGGUAUGCACUGGCCUCACUGAUUCCUCCCUCUUGUAGAACCGUAAUGCCAUUAAGUUGGUGUUGCGGGGAAACAGGACUGUUACUUUGAAAAAAUUAGAGUGUUUAAAGCAGGCUAACGCUUGAAUACAUUAGCAUGGAAUAAUGAAAUAGGACGAUCGAUCCUAUUUUGUUGGUUUCUAGGAUUGACGUAAUGAUUAAUAGGGAUAGUUGGGGGCAUUAGUAUUCAAUUGUCGGAGGUGAAAUUCUUGGAUUUAUUGAAGACUAACUACUGCGAAAGCAUUUGCCAAGGAUGUUUUCAUUAAUCAAGAACGAAAGUUAGGGGAUCGAAGACGAUCAGAUACCGUCGUAGUCUUAACCAUAAACUAUGCCGACUAGGGAUCGGAUGAUGUUAAUUUUUUAAUGACUCAUUCGGCGCCUUACG